This 828-nucleotide long non-coding RNA is filed under the name Homo sapiens (human). RNAcentral's name for it is "HSALNT0040196". Lineage: Eukaryota; Metazoa; Chordata; Mammalia; Primates; Hominidae. The record is from RNAcentral.
UUUUGUUUAGGAUAAAUCUAAAAAAACUUGGUAGUAAAUGAAUGAAACUGCAAAAUUCUAUUUUCAAAAAGGAAGUAACAGAAAAUGGCACAUUACAAGUCCCAAGUGGUUGCUAUGAAUACAUUAACACUUGAAAUGGAAACAGGAAAGUGGAAGUAAGAAGCAGAACAACAUGCAACUGUGUAAAAAAUAUUUCUAGGGAUACAACAGAUAUAUAGGAUUCAUUUAGGAGUAGAAAAUGCUGUAUCAGAUACUACCAGAUACUUUACAAGCAGUAAAGCAAUAUUUUUAAAAAGUACUCCUGUUUAUAAACAAGACGCUUAACAGGCACAUCACAAACUAAAUGUAUUAUGCUCUAUAAUUAUUUCUCCGUUACAAAAAGGAAACCACUUUUAGUAAUGUCAAAGACCCUCGAAAAAUACAUUAAAUCAAUUUUAGAUUGCCCAAAUGAAUAUGGGCAAAACACUCCCCCCACAAAAAUAACUUUUUUUUUUGAGAUAGGGUCUCACUCUUGCUGCCCAAGGUAGAGUGCAGGGGCAUGAUCUGGGCUCACUGCAACCUCCAACUACUGGGCUCAAGCCAUCCUCCCACCUUGGCCUCCUGAAUAGUUGAGACUACAUGCGUGUACCACCACAACCAGCUAAUUUUUGUGUUUUUUGUAGAGAUGGGGUUUCACCAUGUUGCCCAGGCUGGUCUCGAACUCCUGAGCUCAAGCGAUCAGCCUGCCUUGGCCUCCCAAAAUGCUGGGAUUACAGUGGGAGGAUGGCUUGAGCCCAGGAGGUGGAGGCUGCGGUGAGCUAGAUCUCGCUGCUGCACCCCAGCUUGGGC